This 1489-nucleotide ribosomal RNA is filed under the name uncultured prokaryote. Its description in RNAcentral is "partial 16S ribosomal RNA". It matches the Rfam family "Bacterial small subunit ribosomal RNA". The record is from RNAcentral.
UAGAGUUUGAUCAUGGCUCAGAUUGAACGCUGGCGGUAUGCUUAACACAUGCAAGUCGAACGGUAACAUUGGAGCUUGCUCCAGAUGACGAGUGGCGGACGUGAGUAACGCGUAGGAAUUUACCUAUUGGCGGGGGAUAGCCCAGAGAAAUUUGGAUUAAUACCGCAUAAGCCCUACGGGGGAAAGCGGGGGACUACUUGUAGCCUCGCACCGAUAGAUGAGCCUGCGUUAGAUUAGCUAGUUGGUGAGGUAAUGGCUCACCAAGGCGACGAUCUAUAGCUGGUCUGAGAGGAUGAUCAGCCACACUGGGACUGAGACACGGCCCAGACUCCUACGGGAGGCAGCAGUGGGGAAUAUUGGACAAUGGGCGCAACCCUGAUCCAGCAAUACCGCGUGUGUGAAGAAGGCCUGAGGGUUGUAAAGCACUUUCAAUUGUGAAGAAAAGCCUGAGGUUAAUAGCCUCGAGUCUUGACGUUAACUUUAGAAGAAGCACCGGCUAACUCUGUGCCAGCAGCCGCGGUAAUACAGAGGGUGCGAGCGUUAAUCGGAAUUACUGGGCGUAAAGCGUACGUAGGUGGUUUAGUAAGUCAGAUGUGAAAGCCCUGGGCUCAACCUGGGAACUGCAUUUGAAACUGCUGAGCUAGAGUGUGGUAGAGGGAAGUGGAAUUCAGGGUGUAGCGGUGAAAUGCGUAGAUAUCCUGAGGAACACCAGUUGGCGAAGGCGACUACCUGGCCAGAUACUGACGCUCAGGAACGAAAGCGUGGGGAGCGAACAGGAUUAGAUACCCUGGUAGUCCACGCCGUAAACUAUGAUUACUCGUUGUCGGCGAUACACUGUCGGUGGCUAAGCGAAAGUGAUAAGUGAUCCACCUGGGGAGUACGAUCGCAAGGUUGAAACUCAAAGGAAUUGACGGGGGCCCGCACAAGCGGUGGAGCAUGUGGUUUAAUUCGAUGAUACGCGAGGAACCUUACCUGGGCUCAAAUGUAAGUUGACAAAUCCUGAAAGGGGUCUUUCUUCGGACAAUUUACAAGGUGCUGCAUGGUUGUCGUCAGCUCGUGCCGUGAGGUGUCGGGUUAAGUCCCAUAACGAGCGCAACCCCUACUCUUAGUUGCCAGCAUGUAAUGAUGGGGACUCUAGGAGAACUGCCUACGCAAGUAGAGAGGAAGGUGGGGAUGACGUCAAAUCAGCACGGCCCUUACGUCCAGGGCUACACACGUGCUACAAUGGCCGGUACAGAGGGCAGCCACCUGGUGACAGGGAGCGAAUCUCUAAAGCCGGUCUCAGUUCGGAUCGAAGUCUGCAACCCGACUUCGUGAAGCUGGAAUCGCUAGUAAUCGCGCAUCAGCCAUGGCGCGGUGAAUACGUUCCCGGGCCUUGUACACACCGCCCGUCAAGCCAUGGAAGCUGGGGGUACCUGAAGUCAGUGACCAUUUAGGAGCUGCCUAGGGUAAAACUAGUGACUGGGGCUAAGUCGUAACAAGGUAACCA